AACUGAAGAGUUUGAUCAUGGCUCAGAUUGAACGCUGGCGGCAGGCUUAACACAUGCAAGUCGAGCGGGGGAAGGUAGCUUGCUACUGGACCUAGCGGCGGACGGGUGAGUAAUGCUUAGGAAUCUGCCUAUUAGUGGGGGACAACAUCUCGAAAGGGAUGCUAAUACCGCAUACGUCCUACGGGAGAAAGCAGGGGAUCUUCGGACCUUGCGCUAAUAGAUGAGCCUAAGUCGGAUUAGCUAGUUGGUGGGGUAAAGGACC
This 262-nucleotide ribosomal RNA is filed under the name Acinetobacter baumannii. RNAcentral's name for it is "partial 16S ribosomal RNA". It matches the Rfam family "Bacterial small subunit ribosomal RNA", at positions 1 to 266 of the family's 1533-position model. The record is from RNAcentral. Lineage: Bacteria; Pseudomonadati; Pseudomonadota; Gammaproteobacteria; Moraxellales; Moraxellaceae.